RNAcentral lists this ribosomal RNA (623 nucleotides) under uncultured bacterium. RNAcentral's name for it is "bacterial SSU rRNA". It matches the Rfam family "Bacterial small subunit ribosomal RNA", at positions 126 to 763 of the family's 1533-position model. The record is from RNAcentral.
UUGCCUCUUGGACUGGGACAACUGUUGGAAACGACAGCUAAUACCGGAUAUUAUGAGAUUCUCGCAUGAGAAACUUAUGAAAGCUAUAUGCGCCAAGAGAGAGCCUUGCGUUCCAUUAGCUAGUUGGUGGGGUAACGGCCCACCAAGGCGACGAUGGAUAGCCGGCCUGAGAGGGUGAACGGCCACAAGGGGACUGAGACACGGCCCUUACUCCUACGGGAGGCAGCAGUGGGGAAUAUUGGACAAUGGACCAAAAGUCUGAUCCAGCAAUUCUGUGUGCACGAUGAAGGUCUUCGGAUUGUAAAGUGCUUUCAGUUGGGAAGAAGCAAGUGACGGUACCAACAGAAGAAGCGACGGCUAAAUACGUGCCAGCAGCCGCGGUAAUACGUAUGUCGCAAGCGUUAUCCGGAUUUAUUGGGCGUAAAGCGCGUCUAGGCGGAAAAAUAAGUCUGAUGUUAAAAUGCGGGGCUCAACUCCGUAUUGCGUUGGAAACUGUUUUUCUAGAGUACUGGAGAGGUGGGCGGAACUACAAGUGUAGAGGUGAAAUUCGUAGAUAUUUGUAGGAAUGCCGAUGGAGAAGUCAGCUCACUGGACAGAUACUGACGCUGAAGCGCGAAAGCGUG